This is a long non-coding RNA of Callorhinchus milii (elephant shark), 370 nucleotides long. RefSeq lists it as uncharacterized. The transcript has 3 exons. The record is from RefSeq and is a predicted model, not a curated record. NCBI's taxonomy places the organism in Eukaryota, Metazoa, Chordata, Chondrichthyes, Chimaeriformes, Callorhinchidae.
ACAGCGACGUCCCCACGAACAGCAGUGGAUUAAGUGACCGAUCCUUAAAAACAUACAUAAGGCAGAGCGGAGGGGUUUAACAGAUGGACAGCUUGCUCUGAGAGCUGUUACGCUCGCGAGGCCCUGGAAGAGGAAGUGCCUCAGACUUCCUCAACGCUCAAGGGUGGAGGCUGCCAUCAAGCAAGAAAGUGAGCGAGUGAGACCAUAGCAGAAGUUGAAGGACGAACACUGAACGCCGGGCUUCGUUAGCGCUCAGAAAGGAAGAUAAAGAGAGACAAGAGAGAGAGAGAGAGAGAAAAGACAAGUGCUCGGUCCCAAGUACCUGGGUGUGUGUGUGUGUGUGUGUCUGUGUGAGGGUGUGUGCAAGAGG